Molecule: long non-coding RNA, 1602 nt
Filed under: Homo sapiens (human)
Lineage: Eukaryota; Metazoa; Chordata; Mammalia; Primates; Hominidae
Description: long independently transcribed non-coding RNA 2030 (LINC02030)
Source: RNAcentral
AGGUAGACACUUAGGAGUGGAAUUGCUGAGUCAUACAGUAAUUCUAUGUUUAACAUUUUGAGGAGCUGCCAAACUGUUUCCAAAAUGGCUGCAACAUUCUAUAUUUCCAUCAGCAAGAAGGGCCCAUGUGGCAAGGAACUAAGGGCAGUCUCUGGCCAAAAGCCCACAAGUAACUGAAUUCUGCCAAUAACCAUGAGUUUGGAAGUGGAUCCUUCCCCAUUCGAGUCUCAGAUGAGUCCCCAGCCCUGGCCAACAUCUUCAUGUGCUGUGAGAGACCAUUAAGCAGAGGACCCAGCUAAGCUCUGCCCAGAUGCUCAAUCCACAGAAAAAGAUACUAAGUGUGUGUUGUUUUAAGCUGCUACAUUUGCAGUGGUUUGAUAUGCAGCAAUAGAUAACUGAUACUGCUGUUAAUUGCUUUCUAUUACAAUCAGCUGGAAUAACUGCCCUUGUGCCUACAAUCAGAGAUGUAUUUUGGGAUCAAUUCCCAGACCUGAGAUUGUUCAGUCUAAGGGUAAGGAUAUUUAAUGUGGAAAAAUAACACUAAAUUGUCCUCCAAAAAUAUUAUCAAGUGACAAUCAUGCAAACAGUAUGAAAGUUCCUACUUCUCUCCAUGUUCUUGCCAAAUGAAGUGUCAUUGAUCAUUGAAAAAAUAUCAGUUUGAGAAAAAUCAGUACUGCAUUGCUUUGAUUGCAUUUUCCUGAUCACUUAUCAGGGUGAGCAUCUUUUUAACGAAUCCCUUGGCCAUUUAUUUUCCUCUUUCUUUUGAGACUUCUCUCUUGAUAUUUUUAGCUUUUAUCCUAUUUUAAUUGGAUUUCAAUUGGAUUGAACAACUAGAAUGAUAGAAUGAUAUCUGGGGGGCACACAAUGGCCAUUGGUGAUGCUGCUGUUGAUUACCCAAAGUGCUAUCCCAUUUCUUCCUGUGUAUUUACUACUAUUUCUCUUGCAGUUAAUAAGCAAUUUAUGGGAAGAUUCUUUGAGACCAUUCAAAUAUCCUGCACCUCAUUAAAAUAUCCCCCUGGAUUUAGCAGCCUUUGAUGAUUCUUGCCUGAACAAAACUUUAUUAUGGUAGAUGUAAAAUGAAGAUUUUCAUUUCUAGCACUUCUUCCACAUUUACCAGCUACAUUCAGCCUUCUUGUGGAUAAGACUCUCCCCUUUCUCCCAAAUGUUUAUUGUUUUUAUUAGUAUGGACUCACGAUUUCCUGUUCUUCUCAAUGGCCUAUAAUUUAUUACUAUCUUUAAUUAUAUUAGUGCUCAAAUUUUCCCAGUUUGGCCAGUGGGAUCCCCUCCAAGUUGGCUAUUAUUUCCUUGUGACAUACCCACUUUUUCUUUCUUUCUCUUUCUUUUUCUUUCCUUUUAAAACUCACUUCUUUACUUCCUGCUCCAGCCCUGGAAUCAGCCAUUUCUCUGAAAAACUGUGGUUCUUUCAAGUGGACAAAGGUAUUAGAGACCAAAAUUUGGGCACAAGAUAUGCACUUUAACAAGGACCCACUUUAAGUGCAGUUUAGUGAAUUUGAAUGAAUGCAUGAACUUCUGUAACUACUACCACAAUCAAGAUAUAGAGUUUCUGUCACCUCUCAAAGCCUCCUUUUCUUGCUUGCUCAU